AAGGCCCUAGCUCAAUUAAAGCGCCUGGGUUG
This 32-nucleotide transfer RNA is filed under the name Threskiornis aethiopicus (Sacred ibis). RNAcentral's name for it is "partial tRNA-Ala". The record is from RNAcentral. Lineage: Eukaryota; Metazoa; Chordata; Aves; Pelecaniformes; Threskiornithidae.